GGAGGUGUGGUACAGUGGUGUAGUGCUGUACCUGGAAGCAGAGGUUUUUUUCUCUUUUCCCUACUGCGUAGGUUCGAUUCCUGCCACCUUCU
This is a non-coding RNA of Arthrobotrys conoides, 92 nucleotides long. Lineage: Eukaryota; Fungi; Ascomycota; Orbiliomycetes; Orbiliales; Orbiliaceae. The record is from the annotation of a GenBank genome assembly.